UCAGGAAUGGACCUCCUCCAGUGCGGCCACACCUUAGUAACCAAACAGUGUUACCAACUGGGGACAAGGGCUCAAAUGGAAGACAUUUCUCAUUUGCAGCACCACACAGGUCAAGCUCGAGAAAAUGUCAUCCAAAAAAUUCAAAUGCUCCACAAAUUCUUCCAGUUCCACGGGCUCAGUGUCCAGUUGGUGCAGCAACGAGUCUAAAGUCUGCAAGGAUUAGCACACUAGUGAUAAAUCCGGAACUGAAACCAAAUCAACAAGGAUAGACAGGCGAGGAUCUUGGUGCAAAGGGAUGAUUGUGGCUGGAACAGGACAUUGAACAGUUAGGAUUUUCAGAUGCCUCUCAGAAGCAACACUUUAAAAAUCAGCCAUAACAUGUUAAAAGCUGACGCUGAGUGACUUAAUGAGCAGACACUAUUCUGUAUCGAUGGGGGCAUUUAUAAGCAUGCACAAAGGUUUGCAUUUAACAUUAUAAACAGAAGAAACUAUCACAGAUAAUAGGUGGGGUAGGAGGCACCGUGCUGAAAACAGAGCCAGAGAAUCCUGUCCUCUGUGUGGAGAGUGUUGUUCCAUCUAGAGCACAGAGAUACAACUAACACAGACUGGUAUUGGAAAGGAGUUGACAGGUCAGAUGUCUAUGGUCACAUCCCUUCACCCCCAACCAAGAGAAGGAACUUUGACUUAUAUUUUAUGGCUUACACAAAUAAACUCAAGAUGAAGAUAAACACAGAAUACAAAUGGAUGAACUUCUAGAAGAAAAUAGUGUGGCUCUUAAAUGAGAAAGUCCCAGAUACAAAGUCAAAAACAUAAGGCAUGGUAGAAGUCAAUUGAUGUGCUGGGGUUUACAAAUCCGGGUGGCUUAGCACAGUUGAGAAUGAGCAGCUAAGGAGGAGAACGUUUGCAAGCCUUCCAGCUGAUGACAGAUUUGACCACAACACUUGAAAGACCUCUCUCAGCAGCAAGUAGACACUCAUCAAAGUGCCUUAAACACCUGACGCAUAGGUGGAGAACUCAGGCAAGGAAGUCUGAACCGUCUUAUCAAUUCCUAGUGAGACAGAAAGUUCUAAAAUGUGCCUCCUCGUGGCAACAGGUAAAGGAAUUUUUAAAAGUUGACAAUAUAGCAUUUCCCACCAAUGCUGGAGAAACCCAGAAAGCUUCACACACUGCAGGUGAGAAUAAAAUGUCAUCCUGCUAUACAGAAAAUAUAAUCUAAGAAUUCAAUACAAUUAAACAUAUACCACAGAUAUGCUCAUCUGUAUACAUGUAUUUAUACAAAUAAUAAUUUAAAAGCAGAUGAAUCUCAGGUGACAAAUGUGUAAGGAGUUAGAGGAACAGAAACUCCCACCUUCACAGUCCAUGGUGCAGGGUUUUCCACCAACAAAUGCUAAAAUUAAUGGACUUAGGUUUUUGUUUUCAGCAAAAAAAAAAAAAAAAAAAACCAUGAUAUUUGCAUUUCUUUUACGACUUUUGGCAGGA
Molecule: long non-coding RNA, 1479 nt
Organism: Mus musculus (house mouse)
Lineage: Eukaryota; Metazoa; Chordata; Mammalia; Rodentia; Muridae
Product: predicted gene, 33612
Exons: 3
Source: RefSeq, a predicted model, not a curated record